Molecule: ribosomal RNA, 426 nt
Filed under: uncultured bacterium
Lineage: Bacteria
Description: partial 16S ribosomal RNA
Rfam family: Bacterial small subunit ribosomal RNA
Source: RNAcentral
GUGAGGAAUUUUCCGCAAUGGGCGAAAGCCUGACGGAGCAAUGCCGCGUGAAGGAUGAAGGCCUAUGGGUUGUAAACUUCUUUUCUCAGAAAAGAAUUAUGACGGUAUCUGAGGAAUAAGCAUCGGCUAACUCUGUGCCAGCAGCCGCGGUAAGACAGAGGCUGCAAGCGUUAUCCGGAAUGAUUGGGCGUAAAGCGUCUGUAGGUUGUUUAAAAAGUAUUCUGUCAAAGAUUAGGGCUUAACCCUAGAUAGGCAGAAUAAACUUUUAAGCUAGAGUUUGGUAGAGGCAGAGGGAAUUCCCGGUGGAGCGGUGAAAUGCGUAGAUAUCGGGAGGAACACCAAAGGCGAAGGCACUCUGCUGGGCCAAUACUAACACUGAGAGACGAAAGCGAGGGGAGCAAAUGGGAUUAGAAACCCCGGUAGUCC